ACUCAAAUGAAUUGACGGGGACCCGCACAAGCGGUGGAGCGUGUUGUUUAAUUCGAUGAUAAGCGAAGAACCUUACCCAGGCUUGACAUCCUUGGAAUUUCUUCGAAAGAAGAAAGUGCUUUUAGAGCCAAGUGACAGGUGUUGCAUGGCCGUCGUCAGCUCGUGUCGUGAGAUGUUAGGUUAAGUCCUUCAACGAGCGCAACCCUUUUGUUCAGUUGAAUUUCUCUGAACAGACUGCCCUGGUAACAGGGAGGAAGGGGGGGAUGAUGUCAGGUCAGUAUUACCCUUACGUCUGGGGCUACAAACACGCUACAAUGGCCGGUACAAAGGGCAGCCAACCCGCGAGGGGGAGCAAAUCCCAUCAAAACCGGUCUCAGUUCGGAUUGCAGGCUGAAACUCGCCUGCAUGAAGCUGGAAUCGCUAGUAAUGGUAGGUCAGCACACUACCGUGAAUACGUUCCCGGGUCUUGUACACACCGCCCGU
RNAcentral lists this ribosomal RNA (483 nucleotides) under uncultured bacterium. RNAcentral's name for it is "partial 16S ribosomal RNA". It matches the Rfam family "Bacterial small subunit ribosomal RNA", at positions 899 to 1397 of the family's 1533-position model. The record is from RNAcentral.